Molecule: non-coding RNA, 667 nt
Organism: Paramuricea clavata
Lineage: Eukaryota; Metazoa; Cnidaria; Anthozoa; Malacalcyonacea; Plexauridae
Source: the annotation of a GenBank genome assembly
AAACAAUUGAUUUCAAAAGAAAUUAAUAAAGCAGAACACGAAUAUAUGAAUAUGCCCGCCCCCCAAUUAUCGUUCUGGCUACGCCACUGAACAACUGCUGCAUUGAACGAACACGUAAAACGAUCUGCGUUACAAGCAUGAAAGUGGUACAAUUGUCCCGAAGCUGCAAGAGUAGCGCUGGAACCCACACACUGGGCUCCCGCCAGUCGAUGCCCGACGUAUCCUAAGUGACUAGUAAAGAUCUGAUUUGUUCUGGAUGCACCAAAUAUGUGGUUGGUAGAUGCAAAUGCAAUAAGAGUGUACGGAGCUGUGUGUUUGUCAAGCGAAAUAUUAGAUAAUGCCAAAACACCCAUGCUUGGUUAAAAAGUAAAAAAUUUCAAUUUCGCAUCGUUCACAUUUGAUCUUUAAAUAAGUUACCUUUGAGACAUUGCAAUUCACUUAUAAUUGUGGGCAAAGUCCCAUACGUUUGUGAGCGUUGCCGUGAUUUAUUUUUCACCAAAAAGACCACACAAGGCGAAGGUGUGUUUUUGAUAGCAAGAGCUACCGUAACAUUUAAACAUUUUGCAAAAUGUUAUCACAGUUAAGAUACAUGUGUAAGUUGCUAAAAUAUUAUCUUUGUUGCUGCCAAAUAAACAGCAUGCAUUAACAGAUAGCAAAAUAUAUCCAG